This 77-nucleotide transfer RNA is filed under the name Selenihalanaerobacter shriftii. Its description in RNAcentral is "tRNA_Pseudo_CCA". Lineage: Bacteria; Bacillati; Bacillota; Clostridia; Halanaerobiales; Halobacteroidaceae. The record is from RNAcentral.
CCGAAGUUUAUCCAAAAUGACAGAGCACUGGACUCCAAAUCCAGGUGCUGCGGGUUCAAGUCCUGCCACCCGUGCCA